GAGGUCUUCACGGAAGUAAAAAAACAUGACUCCCUGUUUCGUGCCUUGAACUGGAGGUGUAACUGUCCAUGGCGUUUUUACUUCUUUACUCCUAUGGAUUCUUCAUUUCAUCAAUCCAAGCAACAUGUUUUCACAAAUUCCUCAGCAGAUUCACUAAAACGUCCCCGAGGAGUGAUUGCGUCUGUUUAGCUGAUUGGAAAGCUAGCUUGCACAGCUAGCGGGUUCACGACAAGGAUUUCUGUUUUGCUUGAUCAGCCGUUUUACUGCCUUGUUGCAGACACCGUUUGGAGACAAUUAAGACAUGCUUCCAAAGAGUGACAUUCACGUCGUCCACCUCCCGAAAAGGAGCAGGAAGAAGCAUCCAUCCAUCCAUCCAUCCAUCCAUUUUCUAAGCAGACUUUAUUUAUUCUGGCUCCUUCUAUGUGUGCCAGUAAUUAAUUGUUAGGUUAUUUAUUCCAACUUGAAUAGGGAGCAGAAUUGGUCUGCAAGGUGUAGGGGGAAAAAAUGUGUUGAACUGAAAUAAAUGAAUGAAUAAAUAGGUAAGUAAGAAUGAAAGGGCUUUAAAAACAAACAAACAGAUAAAUAAGAAGGAAAUGGGUUGUUUGACAAAAGUAAGAAAGUAAAAUAAA
Molecule: long non-coding RNA, 629 nt
Organism: Nerophis ophidion (straightnose pipefish)
Lineage: Eukaryota; Metazoa; Chordata; Actinopteri; Syngnathiformes; Syngnathidae
Exons: 3
Source: RefSeq, a predicted model, not a curated record